This is an RNA transcript of Malania oleifera, 1228 nucleotides long. RefSeq lists it as uncharacterized. The record is from RefSeq and is a predicted model, not a curated record. The transcript is spliced from 11 exons. Lineage: Eukaryota; Viridiplantae; Streptophyta; Magnoliopsida; Santalales; Ximeniaceae.
UGUAAAGUACUAGCGUUUGGACUUCGGACUCCAUAGACGGUGUGGAAGGUCCGUCCCUGUUCUAUCAAUCUCUCUUUUCGUCGCCGAUUAUGGAUGCUACUUCUCCAUUCAAGAUAAUCUUGGGAUCAUCUUCAAUAGCCCGUAGGAAAAUAUUAGCUGAAAUGGGAUAUGAAUUCACAAUUAUGACUGCAGACAUUGAUGAAAAGUGCAUUCGGAAAGAAAAGCCAGAAGAGUUGGUAAUGGCUCUUGCUGAGGCAAAGGCUGAUGCCAUCACAGCAAAGCUUCAAACUAUUGAUAAUCAAGUGAAGGAUGCCAAACAAACAAUUUUGGUUGCAGCUGAUACAGCAGAAGCCAUCAUUCCGAAGCUGCCCCUUGGUGAUAAGAUAAAGGAUGCUGAGCCAGUGCUUUUAAUCACUUGUGAUCAAGUGGUGGUGUAUGGAGGUAUGAUCAGGGAAAAACCAUCGAGCAAGGAAGAAGCACGACAAUUCAUUAAAGGUUAUUCUGGUGGGCAUGCAGCAACAGUGAGCUCUGUUCUCAUUACAAACCUUGAGGCAGGAUUCAGAAAAGGAGACUGGGACAAAGUGGAGAUUUACUUUCAUGACAUUCCAGAUGAAAUCAUUGAUAAGCUGAUUGAGGAAGGGGCUGUGCUCAAUGUUGCAGGGGGACUAAUCAUAGAACAUCCUCUGAUAUUACCCUAUGUUAAAGAAGUGGUGGGAACGACUGACAGUGUGAUGGGACUCCCUAAAGCUCUCACAGAGAGACUCCUGAAGGAAGCCCUCUAGCUGACGGGCCAUAUCUUCAAUUUAGCUUGGAACUCUUGCCACCAUUUGAUGCUGAUUUCCUCCUGUUGUAAACCUCCUCUAUGUGAUCUUGCACCGUCGAUCCCUAUAACCAGCUAAACUGUAUUCACAUAUUUCAUUCUUUGGCUUCUCCAGAACUGCUGCAUUUCUCGAGGAAUAAUGCAAGAGCUUAUUGUUUAUUGCCAAUUUUAAUUUUGCGCUGACAUUCUGCGGUUCAUGAAAUUGCAGAGCUCAUCUAGAGCAGUCAAAGGGAGACAACAGGAAUUACAAGGAUCCAUCACCCAUUUGACAGGGUUUCCGUGUACUCGUUAAGGACCUUAUUGCUUUUAUUUUUGUUUUUAAUUAUUAAUGUUUUAAAAUGGAUUAAUUAGUAGAUUUCUUUUAAUCCAUUUGAAUUCAAUUUUAAAUUAGUAGAAUAUGUUAUCUUA